CGGUAUAGCUCAGUCGGUAGAGCAGCUGAUUUGUAAUCAGCAGGUCGGGGGUUCGAGUCCGUUCACC
This 67-nucleotide transfer RNA is filed under the name human gut metagenome. It matches the Rfam family "tRNA". Rfam says of the family: Transfer RNA (tRNA) molecules are approximately 80 nucleotides in length. Their secondary structure includes four short double-helical elements and three loops (D, anti-codon, and T loops). The record is from RNAcentral.